This 326-nucleotide unclassified non-coding RNA is filed under the name Hevea brasiliensis (rubber tree). Lineage: Eukaryota; Viridiplantae; Streptophyta; Magnoliopsida; Malpighiales; Euphorbiaceae. The record is from RNAcentral.
UAGUCAAUGGACUCUUCAGCAGUAGGAAAGAACUUUAAGUAUAAAAGAAGGCUAGAAAUCAUCAGCCCUGUCCUUGCCAUUCCAGCCUUACAGUGCACCACAACGACAUUCUCAAUAUCCUCCUUCAACCACGAGUAUGCACUUUGGCAGAAUGAUAUUAUCAGUUGAAUUGGAGGGCAAUUGUGGUCAUCAAACGGAAAACUAGCCACCUUUCCUUCAAGUAAUGAUGCGUCAUACAGCCUCUCAGAACAAAGAUUGUAUACUUUGUACUUGCCCUUGUGAUGAGUUUCAAAAAACUUAAUCACUUCUUCCAUGUGGUUUCGAUA